UGAGGCAGCACUUUCAGCAUCACAGGCAGAAUGUGAUUGCUUGAAGCAGGAGAUCAAAGAAGUAAAGAUCUUAUUGGAGGAGUCACAGAUGAAACAGGCUGCUGCAAACAAUUUGAAAUUUCAGACUAAAAAUAAUGGCAAUGUUCAAAAGGAGUUGGAAGAGGAGAUAAGGUUUCAGAGAGAGGAGAAUGCUAAUUUGGCCUUACAGUUGAAGAAAACCCAAGAAUCAAAUAUUGAGCUUGUUUCCAUUCUUCAAGAACUGGAAGAAACUAUAGAAAAGCAGAAAGUGGAAAUUGAUAACCUUUCAGCUGCUAAACAGACCAGAAAGUCU
This 331-nucleotide long non-coding RNA is filed under the name Gossypium raimondii (Peruvian cotton). Its description in RNAcentral is "long non-coding RNA (GRAI_LNC009595)". The record is from RNAcentral. Lineage: Eukaryota; Viridiplantae; Streptophyta; Magnoliopsida; Malvales; Malvaceae.